AGCGGCGGACGGGUGAGUAACGCGUGGGCAACCUGCCUUACACAGGGGGAUAACAGUUAGAAAUGACUGCUAAUACCGCAUAAGACCACAGUACUGCAUGGUACAGUGGUAAAAACUCCGGUGGUGUAAGAUGGGCCCGCGUCUGAUUAGGUAGUUGGCGGGGUAACGGCCCACCAAGCCGACGAUCAGUAGCCGACCUGAGAGGGUGACCGGCCACAUUGGGACUGAGACACGGCCCAGACUCCUACGGAAGGCAGCAG
This 260-nucleotide ribosomal RNA is filed under the name uncultured bacterium. RNAcentral describes it as "partial 16S ribosomal RNA". It matches the Rfam family "Bacterial small subunit ribosomal RNA", at positions 94 to 354 of the family's 1533-position model. The record is from RNAcentral.